UUGCUGGAGCUCACAGUUCCUCAACACUGCAGAUAUGACGCCUCUGUUCAUCUCAGUGUUGCUGGCUGCUGUGUGCCUUGAAUGCAGAGCACAAAAAGACAACGUGCUGCAACCAGAAGGAGACGUGACUGCUGCUGAAGGAGAGACAGUAACACUUGGCUGUCUAUAUAACAGCAGUUCAACAAAUAAUUAUCUCUUCUGGUACAAACAGGAUGGAAACAACAGCCCCAAAUUCAUGUUGAGCCGCAUGCAAGGGGUCGAAGUAAAAACAGAGGCUGAGUUUAAGGAGAGAUUUUCAUCCACACUGGAUUCCACCUCUAGAUCAGUUCCUCUGAAGAUCCAGAAGCUUCAGCUGUCUGACUCUGCUGUGUACUACUGUGCU
Molecule: non-coding RNA, 382 nt
Organism: Micropterus salmoides (largemouth bass)
Lineage: Eukaryota; Metazoa; Chordata; Actinopteri; Centrarchiformes; Centrarchidae
Source: the annotation of a RefSeq genome assembly